UAACAGUCAACAUAGUUCUUGGGGCAGU
Molecule: non-coding RNA, 28 nt
Filed under: Bombyx mori (domestic silkworm)
Lineage: Eukaryota; Metazoa; Arthropoda; Insecta; Lepidoptera; Bombycidae
Source: RNAcentral